UGAGGAAUAUUGGUCAAUGGGCGAGAGCCUGAACCAGCCACGUCGCGUGAAGGAAGACUGACCUUACGGUUUGUAAACUUCUUUUGUAGAGGGGUAAUGGCAGAUACGUGUAUUUGCGUGAAAGUACUCUACGAAUAAGCAUCGGCUAACUCCGUGCCAGCAGCCGCGGUAAUACGGGGGAUGCGAGCGUUAUCCGGAAUUAUUGGGUUUAAAGGGUGCGCAGGUGGCUAAUCAGGUCAGUGGUGAAAAGCUAUGGCUCAACCAUGGUCUUGCCAUUGAAACCGUAUAGCUAGAGAGAAGACGAGGUAGGCAGAAUGUGUGGUGUAGCGGUGAAAUGCAUAGAUAUCACACAGAACUCCGAUUGCGAAGGCAGCUUACCAGGCUUUAUCUGACACUUAGGCACGACAGCGUGGGGAUCAAACAGG
RNAcentral lists this ribosomal RNA (425 nucleotides) under Verrucomicrobiota bacterium. RNAcentral describes it as "Verrucomicrobia bacterium partial 16S ribosomal RNA". It matches the Rfam family "Bacterial small subunit ribosomal RNA", at positions 355 to 776 of the family's 1533-position model. Lineage: Bacteria; Pseudomonadati; Verrucomicrobiota. The record is from RNAcentral.